UAAAAGGCUCUUUUAGGAGUCAUUCUAAAGGAAAAAAAAAAUAUAU
Molecule: non-coding RNA, 46 nt
Organism: Plasmodium falciparum Vietnam Oak-Knoll (FVO)
Lineage: Eukaryota; Apicomplexa; Aconoidasida; Haemosporida; Plasmodiidae
Source: Rfam